UGAGGAAUAUUGGUCAAUGGGCGAGAGCCUGAACCAGCCAAGUAGCGUGCAGGACGACGGCCCUAUGGGUUGUAAACUGCUUUUAUACGGGAAUAAAGUGAUGCCUGCGGGCGUUAUUGCAUGUACCGUACGAAUAAGGACCGGCUAAUUCCGUGCCAGCAGCCGCGGUAAUACGGAAGGUCCGGGCGUUAUCCGGAUUUAUUGGGUUUAAAGGGAGCGUAGGCCGGAGAUUAAGCGUGUUGUGAAAUGUAGUGGCUCAACCUCUGCACUGCAGCGCGAACUGGUCUUCUUGAGUACGCG
Molecule: ribosomal RNA, 300 nt
Filed under: uncultured Prevotella sp.
Lineage: Bacteria; Pseudomonadati; Bacteroidota; Bacteroidia; Bacteroidales; Prevotellaceae
Description: bacterial SSU rRNA
Rfam family: Bacterial small subunit ribosomal RNA
Source: RNAcentral